RNAcentral lists this long non-coding RNA (279 nucleotides) under Vitis vinifera (wine grape). RNAcentral describes it as "long non-coding RNA (VVIN_LNC000794)". The record is from RNAcentral. Lineage: Eukaryota; Viridiplantae; Streptophyta; Magnoliopsida; Vitales; Vitaceae.
UGUAUUUGUUCACUAACCCGGAUUUUGAUAGCGCAUUACGGCUCGCGGCCCAGGUACGCACUCCCUAUGCUCAUUCUGAUUUUCAUAUGUGCAAGAUUGAUUCGAGUAUUCAUUGAUUUUCUUAUUGACUGCCACGUCAGCUUCAUCUUAUUAGUAGAGACCCGACUUUAGGGACUUAGAGGGGUGCUACGGUCUUUACCGUACCUUCCCGAUAAGUAACCUGACCCCCGAACCCGAUCCGGUUUUUCGUAGAUCACCUUUUCCAAAAUAAGGAGCCAC